AUUACAGAGUUCAUGCCCUCACGGGUAGAUCUCCCACCCUUGAAUAUUAUACCUUCGUUGCUUUGGCAGGCCGUGGAAACACCAGAGGCUCCGGCUGAUGCGUGCCUGCCAGGGGAAACAAACUCUGUUUUUAGUGAUGUCUGAGUACUAUAUAAUAGUUAAAACUUUCAACAACGGAUCUCUUGGUUCUGGCAUCGAUGAAGAACGCAGCAAAACGCGAUAGGUAAUGUGAAUUGCAGGAUUCAGUGAAUCAUCGAAUCUUUGAACGCAUAUUGCACCUCUUGGUGGACCAUGGGGCAUGUCUGUUCGAGAGUGAUGCUCAAUGAUCAAGCCAUUGUUUUGAUGCAGUGGACUUGUUUUUGAGUCCUGGGAGUCCAGCUUCCCUGGCUCUAAAGUGGUGGUCUUGCGGUCCAUGUUGAACCAUGAACAUGAUAAUGUAAAACUCAUUGUUCUGUGGUGCUUAACUGGGGCUAGCCUUAACAACCUUAAAUUCUAACUUCGGAUCAGACAAGA
Molecule: ribosomal RNA, 513 nt
Filed under: uncultured fungus
Lineage: Eukaryota; Fungi
Description: eukaryotic LSU rRNA
Rfam family: 5.8S ribosomal RNA (bases 163-316)
Source: RNAcentral